UAAUGCCGGAUGUUCCACAUGAUCGCAUGUGAUUGUGGGAAAGAUUCUAUCGGCGUGGGAUGGGGUCGCGUCCUAUCAGCUUGUUGGUGAGGUAACGGCUCACCAAGGCUUCGACGGGUAGCCGGCCUGAGAGGGCGACCGGCCACAUUGGGACUGAGAUACGGCCCAGACUCCUACGGGAGGCAGCAGUGGGGAAUAUUGCACAAUGGGCGCAAGCCUGAUGCAGCGACGCCGCGUGAGGGAUGGAGGCCUUCGGGUUGUAAACCUCUUUUGUUUGGGAGCAAGCCUUCGGGUGAGUGUACCUUUCGAAUAAGCGCCGGCUAACUACGUGCCAGCAGCCGCGGUAAUACGUAGGGCGCAAGCGUUAUCCGGAUUUAUUGGGCGUAAAGGGCUCGUAGGCGGCUCGUCGCGUCCGGUGUGAAAGUCCAUCGCUUAACGGUGGAUCUGCGCCGGGUACGGGCGGGCUGGAGUGCGGUAGGGGAGACUGGAAUUCCCGGUGUAACGGUGGAAUGUGUAGAUAUCGGAAAA
This 528-nucleotide ribosomal RNA is filed under the name Bifidobacterium bifidum. Its description in RNAcentral is "bacterial SSU rRNA". It matches the Rfam family "Bacterial small subunit ribosomal RNA", at positions 164 to 704 of the family's 1533-position model. Lineage: Bacteria; Bacillati; Actinomycetota; Actinomycetes; Bifidobacteriales; Bifidobacteriaceae. The record is from RNAcentral.